GCCACCAUCUGUAGUAUCCUAAACCACGACCAUUUGAUCGUAAGAUACUUGUCCGAAUACCAAGUUUUGGCGAAGCACAAAUUCGAUUAUCAGAGAAGUGAUGGAAUUCCUUAACUGGGAUUGCGGCUUCGAGAUGUUCUUGCAAUGUUCGGAUUCGCCCCGAGUUUCUUCUUCACCACAGAUUCCCUCUGAGGAGACAGAGAUCACAUUAAAUUCGAAGAAGCCGAAAACAAAAAGAAGGUAAUAUUUUACGUACCAUGGCGCGAAUACGGUGACGAUCCUCCUCGCUGAGGACAAACUGCAGCUGCAUGCGGACAUGGCCACAUCCACCGAUGGAGAAAACAUCGUCCCACGACCCCUUCUCGAUAAUCUGCAUUGUCCUGAUUUAAUUAGCUUACCGGAUCGAGCAAUCUCGUCGUCGGCAGCAUCCAGGAGCGCAACGGACAAGUCCUCGUUCAGCUUCGCGAUCGGACUGUAAGAACAUCAUCACUCUCCUGUGUUCAUACGUGCAUUUUUCUUUUUUCUAUCGAAG
Molecule: long non-coding RNA, 532 nt
Organism: Andrographis paniculata
Lineage: Eukaryota; Viridiplantae; Streptophyta; Magnoliopsida; Lamiales; Acanthaceae
Exons: 3
Source: RefSeq, a predicted model, not a curated record